UACAGGGGGUGCAACGUUGCUCGGAAUCAUUGGGCGUAAAGCGCACGUAGGCGGUUCGUUAUGUCGGAUGUGAAAGCCUCGGCUCAACCGAGGAAUUGCGCUCUAAACUACUGUGCUUGAGGGACCUAGAGGUGAGCGGAACUGAUGGUGGAGCGGUGAAAUGCGUUGAUAUCAUCAGGAACACCGGUGGCGAAAGGCGGCGUCUGGGGUCUUUCUGACGCUGAG
RNAcentral lists this ribosomal RNA (225 nucleotides) under uncultured bacterium. Its description in RNAcentral is "partial 16S ribosomal RNA". It matches the Rfam family "Bacterial small subunit ribosomal RNA", at positions 524 to 750 of the family's 1533-position model. The record is from RNAcentral.